This 378-nucleotide ribosomal RNA is filed under the name uncultured cyanobacterium. Its description in RNAcentral is "bacterial SSU rRNA". It matches the Rfam family "Bacterial small subunit ribosomal RNA", at positions 376 to 770 of the family's 1533-position model. Lineage: Bacteria; Bacillati; Cyanobacteriota. The record is from RNAcentral.
CGCAAGCCUGACGGAGCCAGACCGCGUGAGGGAAGAAAGCCUUUGGGUUGUAAACCUCUUUUCUCAGGGAAGAAACCUGACGGUACCUGAGGAAUCAGCAUCGGCUAACUCCGUGCCAGCAGCCGCGGUAAUACGGAGGAGGCAAGCGUUAUUCGGAAUUAUUGGGCGUAAAGCGUCCGCAGGGGGCUCAUCAAGUCUGCUGUCAAAGGUCGGAGCUCAACUCCGGUUCGGCAGUGGAAACUGGUGGGCUAGAGGGCGACAGGGGUAGAGGGAAUUCCCAGUGUAGCGGUGAAAUGCGUAGAGAUUGGGAAGAACACCGGUGGCGAAAGCGCUCUACUGGGUCGCACCUGACCCUCAGGGACGAAAGCUAAGGUAGCG